This 68-nucleotide transfer RNA is filed under the name Marmota monax (woodchuck). RNAcentral's name for it is "tRNA.Ala". Lineage: Eukaryota; Metazoa; Chordata; Mammalia; Rodentia; Sciuridae. The record is from RNAcentral.
GGAUUGUGGCUCAGUGUUAGAGCACUUGCCUAGCAUUCCUGAGGCACUGGGUUCGAUCCUCAGCACCA